Non-coding RNA from Plutella xylostella (diamondback moth), 1215 nucleotides. NCBI's taxonomy places the organism in Eukaryota, Metazoa, Arthropoda, Insecta, Lepidoptera, Plutellidae. The record is from RefSeq and is a predicted model, not a curated record.
UUUCAUAUUCUCUGUCCUCACCUUUUAGUUGAGUUUGAAUAUCUAAGUGUAGCUUGUCGAUGGGGGCCCAUUUAGACUUCAGAGUAGACAGUUGAUCUUCUAAAACCCAUUUUUCACAAGAGGUCUCUAGAUUGAUUUUGGCCAUCGCGCGAUCCAAAGCUUGAAAUUGGCAAUGUUGUUUGGUGAGCAGGUCCUGGAUGCUGGUAUCCAUCUCAUCCGUUAUUAUGUCGGAUAAAUCAAAGUUCACAGUUCGGUUUACUUCCUCAAUGCGCUGGAGUUGCUUCAUCAUGUCAGAUCUUAUUGUUUCAACAAGUAGUUUAGUUUUGUUAAACACGUCAUCGGAGUAAUAGUUGAUAGUUUUGUCAGGAAACUCCUUUUCGAUGAUGACGUGGCGCUCGGCGAAGUUAUUCCAGUAGUCUUCUAGAAUCGGCAACCGUUUCUUUAGGUAUGCGUGAUUUUUCACAGAUGGCUUGUCUUUUUUAUAGUUAGAGCAGAAAGUUUUAAUUUUUUCGAAGCAUUCCUCUUGAAGCUUCAAAUUGGAGAUAGUUGAUUGAGACAUGGCGAUGUUGAAGUUGUAGUUAGAUAGUAGGUAGUUACCUUAGUUAGUUGAAGUUUUCAAGUUCAAAGUUGUUAUGACCCGAAGCUGUAGUUUACAGUCUUCUUACUUCUAAUUUUUCACAGCAACGGCAGCCGCAGUUACGAAUCCGUUGUAGUUCUCAGAAGUGGUCAGUUGAAGGUCCUCAGCGCAGUCUCCGCCCCGGCAAUAUGUGCGACUUCUCAAUCUGACUGGGGAGGUCCGCUUGUGGAAGGCCAGCCAAACCGAUCCGCUAUCACCAGAGAGGAUAAACGCUAAGAUACCUGAUAAGUUAUGCAGGACCACUUUUCUUCUCCACGGGUGUUUUCACUCACGAAGAAUUAAUCGCCGGUCACUGGUUUCAGUUUCACUUUCGAAGGACCAAAAAUAAUGUACAGUUUGUACACUAUUGAGAAGUUAAGUUGCUUGAUAGUUUGAAGUUAUAGUUGAGUUGAGUUGGCUUGAGAGUAGAAAGAUCGAGAUUCACAGAUAUGGCCGUUUAUUCACGUAAACACAAGUUAUGUUAUAGGUGGCGACUGCUCUCUAUGGUAGCUGUUCGUACUCUAAUUAUAAUAAUAUAAAAUUAUGGCUAAGUGUGUGUGUCGCAAGUCGCGGCAACGUAGGUUGCUAAGUCAGCAACA